This is a long non-coding RNA of Fukomys damarensis (Damara mole-rat), 287 nucleotides long. RefSeq lists it as uncharacterized. Lineage: Eukaryota; Metazoa; Chordata; Mammalia; Rodentia; Bathyergidae. The record is from RefSeq and is a predicted model, not a curated record. The transcript has 3 exons.
UCAAGUGGUUGAGUGGCUGCCCGUCAUUCUACUGCAUUCUUGGUAGGAAGAAGUUGGAUAAAAAUCAAAACUAUGGCACAAAUCAAGUCUGGAAGCAGAUCAGUUUAUAGGAGAAUGAACGGCCUCAACCCAAGAAAUGUGAAAGACAAACACUCGCCUUAAAGGAGAGUCCUUCAACUCAAGACAAGGAAAUAAACUCUAUGCUUUUAUGAAAAAAAGUUUCAGAAGAUGUGAGUAUUUGUGCCCAUAUGAUCUCCCACCAUGAUGUGCCACCACCUACUUGCCCU